AAUAGCUAUAAUUCUGGACCUUCUGGAGGGAAUGCCGGAAGCUUUGAUAACAAUAAAGUUGGCGACCAUAGCUUCAAUGACAAUGGCAACAGUGCUAAUGGACCCGAAAUCUGGUACUAAAAACCUACUACCAUGCCAGAUGAUCUCCGCCCAGACUUUUCAUCAAGGAUAUCAUUGCUGACUCAAAUUAUUCUUUUUACUUGGUAUUGAACAUUUCGCUGGUCCUGACUGUACAGAAGCUUCUUCUUGCAAAUAAAGAAA
Molecule: long non-coding RNA, 261 nt
Organism: Crotalus tigris (Tiger rattlesnake)
Lineage: Eukaryota; Metazoa; Chordata; Lepidosauria; Squamata; Viperidae
Exons: 4
Source: RefSeq, a predicted model, not a curated record